AUUCAUUCGCUUAGCCUUUUGUCUAAGAUCAAGUGUAGUAUCUGUUCUUAUCAGUUUAAUAUCUGAUACAUCUUCUGUCCAAGGACAAUGAGAUUCUUUGGAAAUCUGGGAAUGGAACCACCAUUUGACCCAGCUAUUCCUCUUCUCG
Molecule: small nuclear RNA, 148 nt
Organism: Marmota marmota marmota (Alpine marmot)
Lineage: Eukaryota; Metazoa; Chordata; Mammalia; Rodentia; Sciuridae
Gene: U2
Rfam family: U2 spliceosomal RNA
About the family: U2 is a small nuclear RNA (snRNA) component of the spliceosome (involved in pre-mRNA splicing). Complementary binding between U2 snRNA (in an area lying towards the 5' end but 3' to hairpin I) and the branchpoint sequence (BPS) of the intron results the bulging out of an unpaired adenosine, on the BPS, which initiates a nucleophilic attack at the intronic 5' splice site, thus starting the first of two transesterification reactions that mediate splicing.
Source: Ensembl